GUUUUGUUGCUUUAAAAUAGGAUUUAAAAAGUAUGUUUAUUUGCUCAAACUAAGCUGUUUAACUUGCACAAGUUUCAAUUUUUAACUCUUAGGAAAUUUUUUUAAUGAUGAUUAGAAAAAAAGAUUAUUGAAAGAAUUUUGGAAAAUGUAGAGAAGUAUAAAAAGGAUUAAAAUAAUUAGUUCUGUCACCCAGAGAACACUACCCGCUUUCUGUAUCAUGAAAGAAAAAUAUACAAAGACAGUGUUUUUAGAAAAAUGCUUUUGUUAAGGAAUUUUAAAAAAUAAGCUUCAGAAUCCUUUUCACUGUAUGAUUAAAGUUGCGUUGUAGAAGCCGUGCAGACAGAUGUUCCAGAUACGCACACCAAAAUCUCCAAGUGCUUUCUCUCAGGGGAAAGAGAGUGGUUAGUUACAGAUUAUUUGAAAAAUAUUUCAUUUUCCUCAUCUUCCAAAAAUUUCAUGAUAAGCAUUUAUAUUUAUAUUGAAAAAGAAGACAGACUUUAAAAAAACUAUGAAACAAAUCGUGUUUGUUAGUGAGGUGGAAGGCUUUUUCAUCUUGUUUUUGGCCUUUUAUGUUUUGUCAGUGGUCCAUCUUUGUUUCCCGUUUACUCAUCUAUAAAAUGAUAAAGUAUUUAUCUGAUUGUGUGUAACAGAGUUAGAAUUAAUAUAGAUGACAUACUUAGAAUAAUGCUUGAUGUAAACAUUGAAUACAUUUUAGGUAUUGUGUUGACUAAUCUUUUUUGACUUACUGAUACAGUUCCUUUUUUUUUUUUACUGAUACAUUUCCUUACCCCAUCUUAUAGAUAUUAUUUAAACUUAUAAUCUAGAAUUUUUCAGAUUGAUUUGUUGGAGUCCUUUAGGAAUAUCAAGUCUUUCUGUCAGUCGAUGAAAAUAUUUUCCAGUUAUUUACCUGCUUUUCCUAUGUUUUGAUACAUAAAGUUACAUACAUUAAUUUUUAUGUAAACUUUUUUAAUGGUUUCUGCUUUAUCUGAACAUAUUUUCCAUUAAAAAUUAUACAUGGAAGAUAAAAUACAUGAAGGGCUUGGACUUUCUAAAAUUUAAGCACAGAGGUGUGUGCUGCUAUGGUGCAGUGAAAAUGUGAUGUAAUGUGUGCUAAAGUGACUGUAAUAUAAGCUUUAGUUCGGUCAGAAACGGUACAAAAAUUACAAACUUUUUCAAAAGAUUUGUUUAUUUAUUUGAAAGGCAAAGUUACAGAGAGACAGAGAAAGAGAGAUAGAGAGAAAUGUCUUCCAUCUGCUGUUCCGCUCCCCAAAUGGCCGCAACGGCUAGAGCUUUGCCAUUCUGAAGCCAGGAGCCAGGAACUUCUUCCCUGUCUUCCAUGUGGAUGCAGGGGCCCAAGCACUUGGGCCAUCUUCAGCUGCUUUCCCAGGCCAUAGCAGAGAGCUGGAUUGGAAGUGGAGCAGCCGGGACUUGAAUAGGUGCCUAGAUGGGAUGCUGGCAUUGUGGGUGGCGGCUUUGCCUGCUAUGCCACAGCCUUGGCCCCCAAACUUUUUCUUUUUUAAAGAUUGAUUGAUUUGAAGGGUAGAGUGACGGAGAGAUCUUUCAUCCUCUGGUUCACUCCCCAAAUGGCCUGAAUAGCCAGAUCCGGGUCAGGUUGGAGCUAGAAGCCAGGAAUUCCAUCUGGGUCUCUCGCAUGGGUUGCAGGGGCCCAAGCAGUUGGACCAUCUUCUACUGCCUUCCCAGGCACCUUAGCGGGGAAAUGUAGAGCUGGGACUCAGGCUGACACUCCAGUGUGGUUUGAUGCCAUCACAAGCAGUAGCUUACCCUGCCGUGCCACGAUGCUGGUCCCCAAACUUCUUCUU
Non-coding RNA from Oryctolagus cuniculus (rabbit), 1820 nucleotides. NCBI's taxonomy places the organism in Eukaryota, Metazoa, Chordata, Mammalia, Lagomorpha, Leporidae. The record is from RefSeq and is a predicted model, not a curated record.